AACAGGUGUCUUCUGAGCGGCUUCUGAGGCGGGGGAACCGUCACGUGAGGGAACACACGGGGGAACCGGCUCGUUUUAACCGGUUCUGCCGAAUUUCCGUUCAACAAAAGGAGGCUGGGCGGACUUCUGCUUUUUAACAAACGCAGCCUGGGGGCAGAUUUAUAGUGUCUGGGUCACUCUGAUGUUACUGCUUCUCUACGUGAUGUACGAGCAAUUAAGAGGUAUCUAAGCAACCAGCUGAUCGCAUCUCAAAUACGCUCUUCACUUUAUUACGUGAAACUCCUUCAACUUCUGAUUGAUGUCAUGAGACAUCUAUAAAGACUGUGUAGUCUUCAACAGGUUAGCAUCAACAGCUUAGCAUCAACAGGUUAGCAUCAGCAUGUUAGCAUCAACAUGUUAGCAUCAACAGGUUGGCAUCAACAGGUUAGCAUCAACAGGUUAGCAUCAGCAGGUUAGCAUCAACAGGUUAGCAUCAACACGUAAGCAUCAGCAGGUUAGCAUCCACAGGUUAGCAUCAACACGUAAGCAUCAGCAGGUUAGCAUCCACAGGUUAGCAUCAGCAGGUUGGCAUCAACGGGUUAGCAUCAGCAGGUUAGCAUCAACAGGUUAGCAUCAACAGGUUAGCAUCAACAGGUUUACAUCAACAGGUUAGCAUCAGCAGGUUAGCAUCAGCAGGUUAGCGAAUGUGUUGUUUUGACUCUUGAAUCAUAUUUAAACAUGUGGCUCAAUAACAAGAGUUGACUGUCUCUGUUCAAGACUUACAAAAUAAACACGGAGCAGCGAGUGAUUAAAAGUAUCUCACAAACAACAAGGACAAGUUCCCUGUUUAGUACGAAAUAAACGGCUCCUCUGUAAACAAGUCCGGAGAGAAUCCUCUCAAAGGAUUCAAAUGUCAGUGAGAAAAGCACGCCGGCCAAGUGCCAAACAAUGUGGAAACAACAGUCAUUGCUUUGGUACCACAUGCCAAACAAGCAAUCAUGUUACUCUGCUCUUGUACUUUGUUAAACCGCCUUUAAUGGACUUCUGCCGGCCUUUCUUAAGACUCUGGAGCGCGUACAAUUUUAUUUAAUCAAAUAUUCGCUUCAACCGGUCCAAACUUGCGCCGCAUCUGUCAAAUAUGUAAGUUGUGGGAAGUUGAUGGCAGCGAGCUGCCAAAAAGAUGCGAGGCGGGUUCGCUGCAGCCCUUCCUGCUGUAGAAUGAACAAAAACAAACAGUUUAUUGCAGACUUCAAACAAACAUGGCACGAAACCAAGACCUAAAUGCACUCAAGAUGUGGCACCCGAGAGCCCGCGGACCGAAUCGCCUGUUCGGCAGAACUGAGCUCGCGUCUCCUCGGAUCCAAGCGGCAGCUCGGUAAUUAAAACAUCCUAAUAGGAGAGAGCAGGAGUCCAGACGAGGUGUCACCGGCUCCGAUUCAGCGUCCUGUGUUUUGGCCGAGGAAGGAGAAACACUCGACUCGACAGCGUUUAGAGGCCGAUUUUAAUGUCAAGCGUCUCGAUGAGACGGCGUCCAGACACGGCGUCCAGACACGGGAGGAACGUGUUGGUGCUGUUGUGUAAUUUCAUGGUUUUUCACUGUUAUGCAAAGCAAAGCAAUAAAACCAAAGUAAAAUACGAAUAGAUUUUUAUAUCAGAAUUCAAAGAAAUGGAGUUCUUUGUAAAGGACUUUUAGACAUAUUGUUAAAUAGAGCAGGUGUGUCACCUGAAAGUCACAAUGAUUCCGGAGGAGGUCCAACCUGACCAUUACUUUAUUAGUUAGAGCGACACAGUCAUUUAUUAUGCAGCAGAUGUUAAAUUGUUUUCCAGCUUCGGUCUUUCAGUAACGUUCACUUGGAAUCAACCAAACAGUGAGUGAUUCAUUCGCUGACUAAGGGCCCGUGGCUGCGUGAAGCAUAAGCGGUUUUACAAGAUUGAUUAAUUCUAAUUCCUUCACUCGAUCCCACCGGAUUUUAACUCAGUUUAUUGGUACAAUGCUGAAUUAUGGGAAGGAGAGAGCUACAGAGGACUCUGUGUGUGUGUGUGUGACGCUUUACACAAAGCUCACGCCAGGAACGAGUACAAACAGCCGCGGCCACAACGGCUUCGCUGCCAAACACUGGCUUUCUCAUCAACCUCGACCAACCACACGCAAACACAAGUGCGCUAACACACAAACAGACACACGCGGGCGGGGAGGCAAAGUGGCAAAGCAACGCAAACAGGUCAAAAACGCCAGAAAAGACAAAUACGAACACACGCGCGUGUGUGUGUGUGUGUGUGUGUGUGUAAGAAGCCGACCUUGUGGCUCACAUCCCCUUAAAUCACAACAACGUGAGAUUGAGCAGAAGCCGAACAAAUCACUGUCAUCCAAACCAAACAGCGACCCACAUCUCUGCCUCCGACCUUCUGGAGAGAAGAAAAACCCACAUUCAAGUAAAUACACAUCGUCAUGUCAAAACCUUCCCAUCCACUCGCUCAGUUUUUGCACAUGUUGAUUUAGAGGAAAAUGAUCCACGGCCGCCACAAGGGCUCACAGAGGGGAGCGGGUCACGGGGAGAUGAGGGUCCUGGGCGAGAGGUGGAGGGAUUUCCCCCGCCAUGUGACGGAGGACGGGGAGGAGGAGGAGGAGGAGGAGGAGGGAGUUGUUUUCGGAGCUGCUUUCCAUCCAGCAAGUUCCUGGAACGGGAGAGAGGAGCGAGGGGAGCUGGAGGCGGGCCGUCCUCCCCUGCACAUAAAUCCAACCGCGUCCCGGCGUCCCGGGCUCGGAGAGAGUCACGGAGGCCCGUAGGCCAGGGCGAUGUCUGCUCCGCCCCUCUGGACCCGGCGGCCCGGGGAUACGGAGGUGUUUCAGGGGCGGAGGCGGAGGUGACGGUAGUCCGGAGAGGGUCCACGUCCUGAACUUUUACAGCCUCAGGCUUUAGGGGGACGUUCUGUCAGCACUAACAAAAUAUAAUUAAAGAAUCAUAAUUAAAUGUGCCCAGAAUUAAAGUAAUUCAUAUACUUUUGCUCAUGAAAUCUUUUGAGCUGAUCUUAUGUUUUUAUUUGAAGAGCAGCUACAGCUCUAAAAUAAAUGUAGCAAUUAAGUAAUCAAGUAACUAAGCACAAUAUCACCCUGAUAGCAGCACGCAACCACCUACCUACAUUAAGUAUACUUAGCUUAGCUUAGCUUAUAUUCCACCACUCAGCGCUCUAGUAAUCCUGCAUCCCAGUAACUUGUUGGCACCAGUUCUACCAGAAACAGGGCAGGAAAUACAAAAUGGAGCCAAGCUGUGAUAACAUUUUUGCAACUGCCAAGACACUUAAAGUGGUACUUUUGGUCGUACGAAUGUACUGUAUCGUACAGCAAACUAGUGCACAUAAAAGUGUAACAAUAAAUAACAGGAGAUAUAAGUCCCUGAUGCAUGCGGCUGUUCUGCACGUGUGUUUUCACUUCACACUUGUGUUUUACAUUGAGCAAUAACUGGAAUUUAGAAACAUCUGUUCACACGGCCGAACACCAAAUAUCACAACGAGAACGAGAUUUUUUGUUCCACAGUUUCAUUUUUAUUUGAUUGAAUUUCUUUGUGCAUUUGAUACCUUAAUGAAUAAUGAAGCAGUAGUUUAUGGUUUCAAUCUCUACUUUUAGGACAUUAUGUACAUUAUGGUCAAUGUUCCGUCAAACAGACCAUGAGGCAGAGUGCUCUUUAGGGCGGGGCUUACUGUGAUUGACAGGUUGCAAUUCGCAAAAGGUUUGCAGGGAUGACGUGACAUGAAAAACUAUCCAGCAAUCAUCUUCCCUCCUCCCCCCGUCUUCUCCGGGUCGUCUGCCCGUCCCCCCCCCCCGUCCCCCCCGUCUCGCUUUGAGCGGUCGCAGGCCGCGCUCAGAGGAAGUGAUGCAGUCCAUCUGGGGUGGUCGUUAUCGGCGGAG
Long non-coding RNA from Gasterosteus aculeatus aculeatus (three-spined stickleback), 3886 nucleotides. NCBI's taxonomy places the organism in Eukaryota, Metazoa, Chordata, Actinopteri, Perciformes, Gasterosteidae. The record is from Ensembl.